GAACGCUGGCGGCAGGCCUAACACAUGCAAGUCGAGCGGUAGAGAGGUGCUUGCAUCUCUUGAGAGCGGCGGACGGGUGAGUAAUGCCUAGGAAUCUGCCUAGUGGUGGGGGAUAACGUUCGGAAACGGACGCUAAUACCGCAUACGUCCUACGGGAGAAAGCGGGGGAUCUUCGGACCUCGCGCCAUUAGAUGAGCCUAGGUCGGAUUAGCUAGUUGGUGAGGUAAUGGCUCACCAAGGCGACGAUCCGUAACUGGUCUGAGAGGAUGAUCAGUCACACUGGAACUGAGACACGGUCAGACUCCUACGGGAGGCAGCAGUGGGGAAUAUUGGACAAUGGGCGAAAGCCUGAUCCAGCCAUGCCGCGUGUGUGAAGAAGGUCUUCGGAUUGUAAAGCACUUUAAGUUGGGAGGAAGGGUAGUAACCUAAUACGUUGCUACUUUGACGUUACCGACAGAAUAAGCACCGGCUAACUUCGUG
This 480-nucleotide ribosomal RNA is filed under the name uncultured bacterium. RNAcentral's name for it is "bacterial SSU rRNA". It matches the Rfam family "Bacterial small subunit ribosomal RNA", at positions 31 to 507 of the family's 1533-position model. The record is from RNAcentral.